CCUGGGGCAGAAAAACAGGCAGUCAGCACCAAGUGCUGGUGUUUUGUGGAGUGAAAACACUGAAGCAGAAUGCUCAGGCAUCUCACUUCACGGAAGGACAGUGCUCCAUGAAGCCCACAAAGCAUGGAUGUUAUAGUUCAAAUAAAAAGCUUCGGCAUGCCUGGGACUGUUAGUUAGAGCCAGAAAACACCAGCUCUAUGGGAAGAGCCAACCUGUCCACACCUGCAGAGCGAGCAUGCACCAGAGAAGACACGGGAGAGAGAAGCACAUGACUUGACCAUGCAGGGACCACACAGGACCCUGGCUACAUCGCCUAGACACCAGCCAAAUGGACUAAGCACCUUUACUUCAAAACCACCUCUUCAUCCCACAAGACCCAAGAGUGCCCUCCAGAGCAGGAAGCAGUACAUUCAAGGCAAGUUCUCCACCACUUAGCUAUACCUCAAUACUUGGAGACAUUUUUCAAGACGAGGGUUAAAAAGAGCCGCCUCAGCCCAUGAAGAGAGUCAAGCUCUGCAGGCACCAGGGGCCCACACAAGCUUGUGGAAGAGGCAGCAGGAGCUGACGGGGCUGCAGUCCACACGGCACAGACAAGAACCAAACCAGCUCACCCGGCAGGAGUACAGCAACUCUACUCCAGACUGGCGUCUCUCCAGCCAGCGUGGUGGAUUAUACAAGCCAGAGACUCCCACCAGGAGGGGGCAGAGCGGCCGUCGGAAGGCAGUGCCACUAGUCCAUGUGAGUGACCUCUAGGCCUGCUAGCCACAGCCCCCUCUUCUACUCUGGCUCAUUAUGAAGGGGCCCAGGGACACAUGACCCCAGCACCAAGUUUCAGCUUUCUCAGUGGGAAGUUACAGACACAAGGUUUUAUCUGAAAAGGGCAAACUGAAGGCGGGUAAGAGGCAGUGAGAACUGGGGACCAAGAGAUCCAGACACAACUCCACGGGAUGGAUCUCCAGGAAAACCUCCCAUUUCACACUGGAGAUAAAGUCCUCUUCAUACCUGAAUGUCUUUAAAAGCAAAUGCUAGAAGGACUGUGAUCCGAGGGUCACUGGACUCUGUUUCCCAGCCUCAGCUCACAGUGUUCGACUACGAAGAUUUAAGAAAACAACAGUGCCUCGAUCACCACCAGCACGACUUCCUUCCACCCACACGGCCGACAGGAGGCAGGCACCUCAAGAGGGGAUGGGAAGGCCACCAGCUUCUUAUCAGGACAGGGACAGGCUGUAGCAGGGCCAUCUAGACAUACCCACCCUGAAUAGCAAACCGCACCCAGUCACUGCUGGACAGGACCAAGGCAUUCAGUACAACGGGCACCUCAAACUUCAGGAAAUACCCAUUUGCCUCCUGGCCAGGGCACAACUCAGAACGACCUCCCGAAUAGCAGGAAAGAUACUGUACAAGGGCUUACUGGGGUGAUGAAGGCAGAGGCCCCCCUGGUGCCAUCUGGAUGUGCCCUCCACAGGGGACCGACCACUGCCUCAGUGCUGAAGCCGUUAGCUUAGGUGCCCUUUCUCACUGACCCUGACUGCCAAGGGUUCAGGAAGUGCAAGAGGGAAGGGCUUGGAGAACUAUGAGCCAGGGCUGUGCAAACCCAAGGCAUCCUCUGUUCUUCCCUGCACAGGGUUUGAACACUUGUCUCCGGCCGCAGUUCUGCUGAGCAGGAGGUCUCGCCCUCCAGAAAAACACUGCUCAGAGGUAACAGCAAGGUUCUGCCCCACCCAGUUUUAUGCUGCCUUCUGAAAAACGCUAGAUUAGUUUCACCCUGGCUUCCUACCUUGGG
Non-coding RNA from Peromyscus maniculatus bairdii (prairie deer mouse), 1783 nucleotides. The record is from RefSeq and is a predicted model, not a curated record. Lineage: Eukaryota; Metazoa; Chordata; Mammalia; Rodentia; Cricetidae.